UGGGGAAUUUGGACAAUGGGCGAAGCCUGAUCCAGCAAUGCCGCGUGUGUGAAGAAGGCCUUCGGGUUGUAAAGCACUUUUGUCCGGAAAGAAAUCCUUGGCUCUAAUACAGUCGGGGGAUGACGGUACCGGAAGAAUAAGCACCGGCUAACUACGUGCCAGCAGCCGCGGUAAUACGUAGGGUGCAAGCGUUAAUCGGAAUUACUGGGCGUAAAGCGUGCGCAGGCGGUUUGCUAAGACCGAUGUGAAAUCCCCGGGCUCAACCUGGGAACUGCAUUGGUGACUGGCAGGCUAGAGUAUGGCAGAGGGGGGUAGAAUUCCACGUGUAGCAGUGAAAUGCGUAGAGAUGUGGAGGAAUACCGAUGGCGAAGGCAGCCCCCUGGGCCAAUACUGACGCUCACGCACGAAAGCGUGGGGAGCAAACAGGAUUAGAUACCCUGGUAGUCCACGCCCUAAACGAUGUCAACUAGUUGUUGGGGAAUUCAUUUUCCUUAGUAACGUAGCUAACGCGUGAAGUUGACCGCCUGGGGAGUACGGUCGCAAGAUUAAAACUCAAAGGAAUUGACGGGGUCAUAGCUG
RNAcentral lists this ribosomal RNA (579 nucleotides) under uncultured bacterium. RNAcentral's name for it is "partial 16S ribosomal RNA". It matches the Rfam family "Bacterial small subunit ribosomal RNA", at positions 356 to 932 of the family's 1533-position model. The record is from RNAcentral.